GUGGGGAAUAUUGCACAAUGGGGGAAACCCUGAUGCAGCAACGCCGCGUGAGUGAAGAAGUAUUUCGGUAUGUAAAGCUCUAUCAGCAGGGAAGAAAAUGACGGUACCUGACUAAGAAGCCCCGGCUAACUACGUGCCAGCAGCCGCGGUAAUACGUAGGGGGCAAGCGUUAUCCGGAUUUACUGGGUGUAAAGGGAGCGUAGACGGCGAAGCAAGUCUGAAGUGAAAGCCCGGGGCUUAACCCCGGGACUGCUUUGGAAACUGUUUUGCUAGAGUGCUGGAGAGGUAAGUGGAAUUCCUAGUGUAGCGGUGAAAUGCGUAGAUAUUAGGAGGAACACCAGUGGCGAAGGCGGCUUACUGGACAGUAACUGACGUUGAGGCUCGAAAGCGUGGGGAGCAAACAGGAUUAGAAACCCGUGUAGUCC
Molecule: ribosomal RNA, 425 nt
Filed under: uncultured bacterium
Lineage: Bacteria
Description: partial 16S ribosomal RNA
Rfam family: Bacterial small subunit ribosomal RNA
Source: RNAcentral